Molecule: long non-coding RNA, 563 nt
Filed under: Rattus norvegicus (Norway rat)
Lineage: Eukaryota; Metazoa; Chordata; Mammalia; Rodentia; Muridae
Description: long non-coding RNA NONRATT001988
Source: RNAcentral
CACACAUCAUUCUCUUAAAUGACAAGUGUCAUUUACAGAGAAGGUUUUCUUUGACUUUUACGAGGUUUUUAGCUUUAACCCUCUAGAUUUUCCUUCUCUAUAACUCUCCAAACUUUGGCUACUCAGGUGGAGUAAAUCAAUAUCUUUGCCAACACUGAAUGAUUGUUAACGUUGUCGUAGUUGGGGUUGUGAAUCACUAGAGUACACUUACCUGCCGUCUGGGUUUGGCUUCAAAUUGCAGGAUCACAGACUUGUUAUUUAAUCAAAGUCUGUCUGUCUCUCUGUCUGUCUCUCUUUCUUUCUUCCAUAUUUAGUUCUUGAACACUUCCAGCAACCAUGAAAACUCGGGCUUAGAUACGCCUACUUUACCCUCCACGCCUCUCAUUGGUCACAAACUGACACCGUGUCACCGAGACCAGACUGUGAAAACUCAAAAGGAAAACUCCAUCUUUAGAACUCCAGCUAUCAAAAGGUCAAUCCUCGAAAGCUCUCCCAGAACUCCCACACCAUUCAAACAUGCCCUGGCAGCUCAAGAAAUUAAAUACGGUCCCCUGAAGAUGCUA